Molecule: long non-coding RNA, 731 nt
Filed under: Lactuca sativa (garden lettuce)
Lineage: Eukaryota; Viridiplantae; Streptophyta; Magnoliopsida; Asterales; Asteraceae
Description: long non-coding RNA (LSAT_LNC002991)
Source: RNAcentral
CCAUAAUUAUACACAUCAAACUCCAUUCCUUUCAAGCUCGUAAACGUAUAUUUUGCAACAUAAAUCAAUAACCAAAUUAAAUGAAUAUAAACAAAAUUUCAAUCAGAAAUAAAUUUAUAUAAUAAAUCUUCACCUGGAGUAAUGUAUCAUAAUGUCCCAAGUAAAGUGGUUGGUGGUGAUCGCCUGUAAUAGUUUGUGAUGUUCUUGAACUACUUGGGUAGAGUUGGGGUAGAGUUGGGAACCCAUGGUUAUGGAGAAAUCAAUUUCAAUUUAGAAAAUCGAUCUCAGAAAACUCAAUAACAGAAAUACAAAUAAAAUAAAAAAAUCAAGGAUUGAUGAGGCUGUCAAUCGAUUUCGAUUAUAUGAAUCGGUUUUCAAGGGAAAAGAAGAAGAACAUUCGAUCUAUUUAAAGAUAAUCUAUUUUCAGGGGAAAAAACUUACCUGCAACAUGAGGCCGUCGUCGCUGGCGGUGCUAGCGGAGGCUGUCGGAGGUGGUGAAUGUUGUCGGAGAAGAGUCAAUGUUGUCAGAGUUUAGCGUUGGAAGUCGUGAGGGGAGUCGAUUUAGGGAGGUCAGCGACCGGAGGAGGUAGAAGAAGCGAUAGACGCUCGAGAUGGUUGGAGGAGGGAGGAGAUGGAAGAGGGGAUCUGAAGGCGAAGGCGGUUGUGUGGUUUUGGAAUCCGUAAGAGGGUAAAAGAGAGAAGGACGCGUUCUUUUUCUUUUCAGAUACAAG